RNAcentral lists this ribosomal RNA (643 nucleotides) under Campylobacter jejuni. Its description in RNAcentral is "partial 23S ribosomal RNA". It matches the Rfam family "Bacterial large subunit ribosomal RNA", at positions 614 to 1222 of the family's 2925-position model. Lineage: Bacteria; Pseudomonadati; Campylobacterota; Epsilonproteobacteria; Campylobacterales; Campylobacteraceae. The record is from RNAcentral.
AAUGAGCCUGCGAGUUGUGGUGUCUGGCAAGGUUAAGCAAACGCGAAGCCGUAGCGAAAGCGAGUCUGAAUAGGGCGCUUAGUCAGAUGCUGCAGACCCGAAACGAAGUGAUCUAUCCAUGAGCAAGUUGAAGCUAGUGUAAGAACUAGUGGAGGACUGAACCCAUAGGCGUUGAAAAGCCCCGGGAUGACUUGUGGAUAGGGGUGAAAGGCCAAUCAAACUUCGUGAUAGCUGGUUCUCUCCGAAAUAUAUUUAGGUAUAGCGUUGUGUCGUAAUAUAAGGGGGUAGAGCACUGAAUGGGCUAGGGCAUACACCAAUGUACCAAACCCUAUCAAACUCCGAAUACCUUAUAUGUAAUCACAGCAGUCAGGCGGCGAGUGAUAAAAUCCGUCGUCAAGAGGGAAACAACCCAGACUACCAGCUAAGGUCCCUAAAUCUUACUUAAGUGGAAAACGAUGUGAAGUUACUUAAACAACCAGGAGGUUGGCUUAGAAGCAGCCAUCCUUUAAAGAAAGCGUAAUAGCUCACUGGUCUAGUGAUUUUGCGCGGAAAAUAUAACGGGGCUAAAGUAAGUACCGAAGCUGUAGACUUGCGCACAACUUAGAUUAUUUAAGUUUAGAAUAUGAGAAACUAAGUUAUGUUU